RNAcentral lists this long non-coding RNA (5196 nucleotides) under Cervus hanglu yarkandensis (Yarkand deer). RNAcentral's name for it is "lncRNA (ENSCHYG00000010732.1)". Lineage: Eukaryota; Metazoa; Chordata; Mammalia; Artiodactyla; Cervidae. The record is from RNAcentral.
CCCGAUCGCGCCUUGGGGCGGGGCUUGGAGAGCUUCCCGGCCUGCGCAGGGGCUUCUGGGAGAUGUGGUCCAGCCGCCAGGCCUCCGCGCCCGCUUGCGCCCAGACCCCAUCGGCUGGGCCUUCUGGGUCGGCGGUGCGGGUGUAUCGGGCUCAUUGCGUGGAACGAAGGCUGGUGAAGGCCCCGUGGCGGCCUCCAUGCCCGAGACCUCCAGGCGUAGAGAGGAACAAAACAGCUACCUGAGCAUGAAGGCCGCAGGAGGCCCCCCACAUGCAGGAGUUCCGUCUUUCGUGGAGAAAACACCUCCUGAAACUCCCUCUGGAUGUUCCAGGUGGAGCUUGGAGAGGCUGAAGAGAGAUUACCCCAGCAGAGCCACUGGGCUGCGGGGAUUCCCUUCCUAACAGGGCGGGCAGGAUGUGGGACCCCGUUGAAGCUGGAGUGACCUCAGAGGCUAAGGAGAAAGGUGAGAGUUAAAUCACUGCUGAAGCACAUAGUAGGUAUUCAGUGAGUGAUUGGGGGGCUGGGGAGAAAGUAUCAGUGUUGAAAGGCUGUCUGUGAAAGUGCAAAAAGGAAAAAUCUUUCUAAGCAAGGAUGUGUCAGGUAAUGGUAAACGAGAACCAGUGUCACCAACUGAAUAUAACAUACCCCCUUCUCCCUUCUUGGUAACUAAGAUACUGGUCUGUUUCAGUGAGCCAAGUUCAUUUUUCACUGCUUCUUUCUUUUUACCCAGCACUGUCUUCUGAAGACUCUGUCCUUCUUCAGGAAGAGGAGGAAAUGCCCAGAUUACAGGUAAAUUAGAGUCUGCCUUCUCUCCCUGAAAAUAUCACCCACACACCUCAUUUUGGGCUGUUGGGGAAGGAGAGCAAUACAACACAUAUAUUGUGCUGGCUCUGGGCUAGACAUAUGUUACUGCAGUUUCUCAAAAUGUCUGAGCAUUGCUGGUAGGAGUGUAAAAUAGUAUAAUAUACUUUGGAAAACAGUUUUAGAGUUUCUUAUAUAAUUAAGCACACACUUACCAUUGACCCAGAAAUCCCAUGGUAUUUACCCAGAGGAAAUGAAAAUAUAUGUCCACUCAAAAAUCUGUAUGUGACUAGGGGCUUCCCUGGUGGCUCAGUGGUAAAGAAUCCGCCUGCCAAUGCAGGAGACACAGCUUCGAUCCUUUGUCUGGGAAGAUCCUAUGUGCUGCGGAGCAGCCAAGGCUUUGCGCCACAACUUUUGAGCCUGUGCUCUAGAGCUUGGGAACUGCAACUAUUGAGCCUGCUAAAGCCCAUGAGCCCUAGAGCCUGUGCUCUGCAGCAAGAAAAGCCUCCACAAUGAGAGGUCUGCGCACUGCAACUAGACAAGAGCCUACGUGCAGCAACGAAGACCCAGCACAACCAAAAAUAAAUAAAAUUAUAUUUUUAAAAAACUGUAGGUGACUAUUAGCAACUUUGUUUAUAAUAGCCCCAAACCAGAAAUGACCGUCAACUGAUAAGCAGAUAAGCAAAAUGUCUUAAUCCAUAUAAUUAAUAACUAUUCCAUUGAAAAAAAAAAAGAACAAACUGCUGAUACAUGUAACAACUUGAAUAAAUAUCAAAAGCAUUAGGCUGAGAAAGAGAAGCCAGAUAUGAAAGAUAUGCCAGAUAAAACAUAAGGUAAAAGAUAAGCCAGAUAUGUGCUGUGUGCUUCUAAGACAGGGUAGGUGGGACCUGGGGCCCUUUGCUCCAGUGCUGCAAGGCUUACACCUGGACAGAUGUCUCCUUGAGCAACAAAAUGCUAAGAAAAUAUAAGAGACUAAAAAUAACUGCAAUAACUGUGCAUACACAGUUGGGGCAAAUUCUGGACAAAAGAUACAAAAAGGGCAAAAAACCCCAACUGCCAGCUCUGAAGAGCUCGGAGCAAAACCAGGGUGUUGGGAGUGAAAGCAGGUCUUACACACGCCCCUUGCACACAGCACCAACAAAGGGCUAGACAGAACACCUAAGCCAUUUCUCCUGCCCAACCAUUGGACACACCCCUACUCUCAUCCUGUAUAAGGAACCAGCUCGGGGGAGCCAGUGAGCGAGCAAGGGAAGCCUUUACUUGCUUUUAUUCUCUGCUGCUGCAGGGAACCCAAUAAGGCCUUGCUUGAGCUUCUUAUCUAACCUCUUGUCAUUUUCUGUUGAUUGGGAAAGGCCAAGAAUUCUGGUCAGUAUCAAUUCCAUUUAUAUGAAAUUCUAGAACAGGCUAGGUUAAUCUACAGUGACAGCAGAUCAUUGGUUGUUGAGAGCAGGGAGUCAGGGCAGGGAAUCAACUAGGAGCAAACGACACAAGGGAACUUUCUGGAGUGAUGGAAAUGGUCUAUGUCAUGAUUGGUAUGUGAGUUACACAGGGGUAUUCUUUUGUCAAAACUCAUCAACCGGUAUACUUAGGGUUCAUGUUGGUUCACUGGAUAUUAACCUAAAUGAGAAACAAUUUGUGAACAGAAACAACAUAAAAAACAGCUCACCUCUCAAAAAAAAAAAAAAAUCUGUAUGGUAUACAGGAGAUAACUAUUUCAGAGAAGAAGGCAGUUCAAAGAAGGAUUUCUGGGUUUUCUACCCAGAAUCACCUGUUUUUUUGUGCUUCAGCUUUGUGCAAAGGACCAUGUAGUCUGGCUUGAUACUCUGCUUGCCCCCAUGUGCUCCCAUCAUCCCCACUUUGUGAGUUAAUAGCCCUUUGCAAAUCCUCUUUUCCUUAUUCUUUAUUUGGCAGGCUUAACAUUUAGGCCAAAAAUGGACCAGAGACCAGACUGCUGCGGUGUGACACCCUUCUAUUGUCUGAUCCUUGCACCAUCCUUGAUUUCCCCUCAUAGCCAUUCUGUGUCUUCUCUUUAUGCUCUGAACAAACCCCUCCCUAGGAAAGAACCCCUGCUUCCCCAUAAUGAUAGCCACUAUUCUGACUUUUCAUACUGUAGAUUAGUUUAGUAUGAUUUUGAACUUUUUAAAUAGAAGCUGGAUACAUACAGUACUCUUCUCUGCCUGUCUUUUCUCAGUAUUUGUUGUGAGAUUGAUCUGUGUCAUUUCAUGUAUAUAUAGUUUAUUUUCAUUUCUUGUAGAGCAGUAAUUUCCAAAGCUUUUUGGUAUCAGGACCCCUUUACACUUUUGAAAGUGGCUUUUGUUAUGUGGGUUAUCAAUAUUACCAGAUCAGAAGUUCAAACUAACAAAACUUGAAAGUAUUUGUUAAUCCAUUAAAAAAUUAAUCCAUUAUAGUUAAUAUCACAUUUUUAAAAAAAACCCUUAUCUUCCAAACAAAAAAAAUUUUUUUUAAAUGGAAAUGUUUUAUAUUUUUGCUAACAUCUUUAAUGUCUGCCUUAAUAGAAAACAGCUGUAAUCUUAUAUCUGCUUCCUCAGUUUCUUUGUUGCAAGAUUGCACAUCAUGUAGCCUCUGAAAAAUUCUUCUCUUUAACUGUAAUAGAAUGAUAGUGGAUAAGCCCAAUAAUGUCUUAGAAUUAUUACUGAAAAUAAUAUUAACUGUACAGACACCCUUGACAGGAGCUUGGCAACCUUCAUGGGUCCCUGAACCACACUUUGGGAACUGCUACUGAAUAUUAAUCCUUCAUGCGACUGUACUAAGUGUUUGUAUAUCUUUCUACUGUCGAUGUGUGAAUGGGAAUUCGGAGUCCAAAAUAAAUGUUGUUAGUAUAUAAUCAUCAGAGGGAGGUUUCCUAGAUAACAUGUCUCAUUAACCAGAGUCCUUAUUUUAGAUCUUUGACUUGCUCCUUCCCACACGACUGUCCACUCCCUUUUCUUGCCAGCUGGAACUCCCCACUUUCCUCUAUUCACAUUUUUACCAUCCCACAAGGCUAGUACCUGGCUUUCUCCAGGGUACCUGCCCUCAUGGCCCCAGUCUACCCUAGAUUCUUUCUCCAGACCCUUCCCUGACUAAAUCUCAAAAUUGAGAUUUGUUGUGUGGAUAGCACCUCUGGAAUUAUAUAGUCUUUCAUGUACUCUGGUUGAAGUUGACUCUUCUUACCAGAGAAGCUUUAAGGGCUGAAGAGUUUUGUUUUUUCUUUUUGUUAAAUCUGCCUCUUUUAUCUUUUCCAUGUUCUAUAUUAGCAGUCCCCAAUCUUUUUGGCACCAGAGACCUGUUUCAUGGAAGACAGUUUUUCCGUGGACCGGUGUGGGGUGGGGGUGGGGGAUGACUUUAAGAUGGUUCGAGCAAUGUUACAUUUAUUGUACUUUAUUUCUGUUUUUAUUACAUCAGCUCCACCUCAGAUAAUCAGGCAUUAGAUCCCAGAGGUUGGGGACCCCUAUUCUACAUAAUACAAACAGAUGCAUGGUUGUGCGCCUAAGUGAGUCUGACUCAGGACCCUGGAGACUGCCAGGACCACAUAUAGAUGUCAGAAUUCAUAGGUGCUCGUCAGCUGCAUUCCUCUGUGGGAAUGGGUAUACCUGAGGAUAACCACGUUUGUUCUUUUAGGAGCUAGUGACAUUCAAGGAUGUGGCUGUCGACUUUACCGAGGAGGAGUGGGAGCAUCUGGACCCUUCUCAGAGGCACCUGUACCGAGAAGUGAUGUUGGAGAACUUUGGGAAUCUCAUCUCCUUGGGUGAGAAUCACAUCUUCCAGAACCCACCUGAUCUCCUGCUGGUUCAGUUGUAUGGAGUAAAUCCUGAGGGGAUUUGCAUUUAGCGGUCCACAUAUUCCUGAUCCCUUAUUGUAGUGGGUAUCAGAUUUGAGAAAGCAUAAAGAUACCUGAGAUGAAGGCAAGAGAUGCCAGUUCCUAUCCAAAUUAAAGGAGACUAAAGAGAUAAGACAGGGCUUCCAUGGUGACUCAGAUGGUAAAGAAUCUGCCUGCAGUGCAGGAGAUCUGGGUUCGAUACCUGGGUAUCGAAUUUGGGCACAGAAUCAUUACUGCCUGUUCAACCCACUGAGAAUUAUUACUGUUGUAUAUUGCAAAUAGGGCUUCCCACGUGGCACUAGUGGUAAAGAACCCACCUGCCAACGCAGGAGAUGUAAGAGAUGCAGGUUCGAUCGCUGGGUUGAGAAGAUCUCCUGGAGGAGGGCAUAAUCCCAUGGACAGAGGAGCUUGACGGGCUAUGGUUCCAUAGGAUCACAAAGAGUUGGACACAACUAAAGCAACUUAGCACACACACAAAUUGCAAAUAGAUCUCUUCAUUGAAGUUCCCUGGAACUCCUAGAACAAUUUUUUUUUGUUUUGAGAAGCAGAAUAUAUAUUUAUCUGUUUAUUUGUGUGUUU